This 1129-nucleotide long non-coding RNA is filed under the name Erythranthe guttata (spotted monkey flower). Its description in RNAcentral is "long non-coding RNA (EGUT_LNC001055)". Lineage: Eukaryota; Viridiplantae; Streptophyta; Magnoliopsida; Lamiales; Phrymaceae. The record is from RNAcentral.
UUUAUAUAACAACUAUGUCAACAAAAAAACCACUAUAUAUAUAGAGUUAUAUAAAAAUAUGUACAAAAAUUAUUGAAAACCACUAAUUUUUGUACACAUUUUUAUAGUGGUUUAAAAUAUUGAAAACCACUAUAAAAAACCUGUACAUAAUUAUUGAAAACCACUCUGUAUACACAGAUAGAUAAACAUGAAAACCACUAUAUAAUUAAAGUACUUCAUUGCAAACAUAUCAAAAAAUACAAACUAUCAAAACGAUAAAUUCUAAUAAAACCGACUAUGAAAAACACCAUCUUCUCUCUUGUGAACGAGCAUAGAUGUUAGCAUCUUCUUCUUAUUAUUACAUUUCUCAAGGAUCACUCACCUAGUCAUCACUUCCACAAUCACUCCCCCUGUUCAAGAAACAAAAAAUAAUAUUCAAGAAUUAAUCACUAAAUAAACCACUUUUAAUUUAUAAAAUGAUAAUAUGUUUGGGGUGUCAUCAUUUUAUUGAACAAUUAUUUACAACGUGCAAUACAUAAAAAAAUCAAAAUAAAUUAAAAAAUAUAAACUGGUGAAAAACAUAAAGAAUAUAAGAAUGAUUAUAUUAAUUAAAUGAAAAAUUCACAAACCAAAAAAGUUUAAAAUCCAUACAUAUACAUAAUUUAAAACGUCCAAAUAUAAAAUAAAAACAACACAUAAUUACAAAUGCAAUACAAGAAAAGGGACGAAAUGAGAAGAAAAAUUUACCGGCAACCUCUGGUGCCAAGCGGCUUCUCCUUGCUUCACGCCGCCGCUUUUAAAUCUCGAAUCAAGCCUCGCCCACAUCGUUGAUCAUAUUGUUGCAAUCUUCGAAAUCACAUACACUGCCGUCUUAUAUAUGCCGGCAUAAGAGAAGGCUGACGCAAGGAGGCAAAAAUAUAGAUGGUUAGGACGGGGGAGGAGCGGCAGAAAUAUAGGUGUUACUUGAAUGGGUAGCACCGUCCAUAAUAGUGUUGCUUCUCCGAAAGUUCAUGGUGGUGGUGGUUGGAUACCACCAUACAGAGAUCGCGGCAUGACUGAUGGAGAGAGGGGAAAGGGGAGCCGCUGUAUACAAAAGAUUGUGAGAAAACGAAUUGUUUUAGAUCGUGAUAGGGUUUGAAAGUUUGGGUGG